Molecule: non-coding RNA, 75 nt
Organism: Podarcis lilfordi (Lilford's wall lizard)
Lineage: Eukaryota; Metazoa; Chordata; Lepidosauria; Squamata; Lacertidae
Source: the annotation of a GenBank genome assembly
GGUAGCUCAGUUGGUUAGAGCGUGGUGCGGAUAACGCCAAGGCUGCAGUUUUGAUCCCUGUACGAGACAGCUGCA